UAGUAAACUAUUCAGCCUUCAUACUGGAAUUGGACGAAUUAUCAAAAUUUCCACGGAAUAUUCUGAAACAUGGCACGCCAAGAAAGAGAGCUAACAGCAAGCAGGUGCUAAGGGGAACCCGUUGUCAGGCUUGCCAUCCGGAACAAAUCAAAAACACGGGACAGUCUUGCCCAAAACUUGAUUCAGGAGCGUUCAAUAGUUCUACAAUUCCACGCAAGAGCAGCGAGUCAAGUACGACCAGCAAGGGCAGUACUCGCGCAGGCAGUAUCCAUGCUUGGACCAAAUCCUUAACGAGGCACUCGUCCAAGUCGUCAGGUGGUGGCGGACACAAGCGAACAUCAUCGACCGCUUCGUCGACCUCUUGCGAAUUGGGGGAGGAGGCCACCCAGGUACUGAUCGACGCGGGUACCUCCUCCCCUACAGUCACUUGUUCUCAACCUACGCCUAUACCCAAAAAGAAUGCUGACACAUCGACACUUCCACCAAUCAAAGGCAGUGUGCCUACGCCCGACGCACUGUCUUCGGUCUUCGACAAAAUCGACAACAUCGAAUUCAUAGAUCAAGUAACCCCUUCCGAUAUCAACAAUCUGAACUACAAGGGUUACCACACUAUCGAUACCAAUCAGGAAAACAUCGUAAAAACGUCACCUGGUGACGAUGAGGUCUUCAAGACACUACCUGGCAAGCAACAGAAAUCAAAAGUCAGGACAAAAGCGAACGGUAAUAAAAAGAAAACCAAGAAGGAUAAGGUAAAGCCCAUUGUCAGUAUGGAACUAUCGUCCGAGAGUUCCGACUUUACUGAGGGCAUUAAAAAAUCGGAUGGGACUGGAAAGUUGGGAGGGAAGGAGAAGACACCACAGAAGGAGAAUAUUACAACUGUUCGUAGUACUACCACGGAAACCGAAACUACUAAAGUUGUCACCACAACCACAAGCUUAAAUAGGUAUACCUUUAUGAAAAUUAUGGAUGAGGACAAUUCAAUAAAAGAAGACAAGAAGAUAAGAACACACAGCUGCAGUAGUAUUCCAUAUGAUAACAUUAUAGAAAACUUGGCGCCGUUCAGGAAAAGGUUCUGCAACAUACAGUUGUUCAGAAAAGAUGAAGAAGAAAAGGAGGAGAAAGAAAAAGAAGAUGAACCUGAUGUUCGAAAGAAAGGGAAGUUCAAGCGCAGGUGGUGGUCAAAAGAUCGACUACUUAAUAAAACUAAAUUCUCAGAAAACACCAUUCCGACCAGAUCUGAAAUCCAGCCUGUAGUCGAAUCGAUCCUCGAUACUAUCCUCGACAUGGCAGUAGAAAUAAUCGACAAAAACCAACUCCGCCUAGACACACUCCGCGACAAACCGGACCACCGUCACAUCGAACUCACACGUCUGGUUCCAGAAUAUAAAAGCCGCAUAAGAUGCAAUACUGCCGAUACCAUAACGUCACUUUACGUGCCCAAAAUCAUGCAAACACCUUCGAGUGACAAUCUUAUCGACGUUAAGAAAUUCGUAGAAGAAUACGAGGAGUACCAUGACUCGUGUUCGGAGAUACAAGAUGCGGAAAUAGCCAUAGGACAGGUAAUGAACGAAUUAAGUACAAAAGUUGAUAGAAUGAUCAUCGAAAAGCAGAAAAACAAAAAGAGGAAAGACAAAUCGGUGAAGCAUGGCGGUGUUAUAAGUCUCAUCCCGAUCGAGACGGAUUCAAACGCCGAAGAUGAUUCUGAGAUCGUUCAAAAUGACAAACGAUUAUUGGAAAUCGGGACGAAAUACAACAUCCCGAAAAAUUUGUUUUUGAGCACCGAAAUGACAGAAAUAACGGAACAGACCAUCGAUGAGUUGCAUAGAAAUGAUGAAAACGCGGAGAAUAAUCCGGAUAUGGUCGAACAGAGUGUCGUGGUGGUGAAUUUAUCAAAGGAGGGAAAAGUCGAAGAUGACGAUGAUGUUUACAAACCGAUUGCCGUCAGUCCUGACGGAAGAGUCUUCAAAUAUGAAGAAGAGAUCGGUAGAGGUUCUUUCAAAACCGUAUACAGAGGCCUUGAUACACAGACUGGCGUUGCAGUUGCUUGGUGUGAAUUACAGGAAAAGAAACUAAAUAAGACUGAGCGACAAAGAUUUAGGGAAGAAGCGGAGAUGUUGAAGAAGCUUCAACAUCCCAACAUUGUGAGAUUUUAUAAUUACUGGGAAUCCCCGGGCAGUAAGAAGAAGAAUAUAGUACUGGUUACGGAACUCAUGUUGAGUGGUACAUUAAAAGCUUAUUUAAGAAGAUUCAAGAAAAUCAACCCAAAAGUAUUGAAAUCUUGGUGCAGACAGAUCCUAAAAGGUUUGGCCUUCCUGCAUUCAAGAUCGCCGCCAAUCAUCCACAGAGAUUUGAAAUGUGAUAACAUUUUUAUAACUGGAGGAACAGGGUCUGUAAAGAUUGGCGAUUUGGGUCUAGCAACGUUGAAGAACAGAAGUUUUGCUAAAUCGGUAAUUGGUACUCCUGAAUUUAUGGCACCUGAAAUGUAUGAAGAACACUACGAUGAGGGUGUGGAUGUCUAUGCAUUUGGAAUGUGUAUGUUGGAGAUGGCUACCAGUGAAUAUCCAUAUUCAGAAUGUACAGGACCAGCUCAAAUAUACAAGAAAGUCAUUUCUGGCAUCAAACCUGCCAGUUUCGACAAAGUUCAGAAUCCCGAAAUUAAGGACGUUAUAGAAAGUUGCAUCAGGCCUAGGAAAGAAGACAGGCCUAAAGUCAAAGAUCUCCUUAACCACGCCUUCUUCGAAGAGGACGUGGGGUUGAAAGUCGAGGUGGUUUCACAAGAGGGCAAGAAGAUAGUGUUUAGGCUGAGGGUCAUCGAUCCCAAGAAGAGAACGCAUAAACAUAAAGAAAACGAAGCCAUACAGUUUGAAUUCGAUAUGGAGAUGGACAGAUAUAUGACGAUUGCGGAGGAGAUGGCAAAGUCUGGAAUAAUAUUUGAAGAUGAUGCAAAAACUGUUGCACAAUUAUUGAAGACUCAAAUAACUCAAAUUACGAAGGAAAGAGAGAAGAAAACCAAAGAGGAAGAAGCUCUGGCUCAACAGUUGCAGUAUCAACAGUAUAUACAACAACAGGUGGAACAGCAAAUGUCUCAGCAACAACAACAACAGCAACAGGUGCAAGCCGCAGUGCCUCAACAGCCACCACAGCCUCAGCAGCAACCACAACAGCAGUCUCAACCUCAAACAAUGACGGGUUAUCCACAGCCGCAGCAGCCUCCGCAGUACACCCAACAGCAAUCUUAUCAGCCACAGAGCUACUCGCAAGGACAACCUGUUAUACAAACUAAUGAACAGCAACAGAUGCAGUAUCAGCAAGAACAACAACAACAAUACCAACAACAACAAAGUAUAGAGCAGCAAGCUCAACAACAGCAACAACAACAGGAACAGGUUCAGGCUAUGCAAAACCAGUAUAUCCAACAGCAACAACAACAGCAGGUACAACAGCAGGUACAACAGCAGGUACAACAGCAAGUACAACAGCAGCAACAACAACAGCCUCAACCAACGCAACAAAGUGAUGGAACAGUUAUUUAUCAACAACAGCAUCCGAUUAUGCAACAACCGGAGCAACAGCAAGUUUUUCAACAACCACAGCAGAUACCACAGGAUCAGCUUCAGAAUCCCCAAGUAAUACAGAGACAACCUUCUGUAGAGCCAGUGCAACAACAAACUAUUAUUCACAAACAGUCCGCUCCGACUCAUUUUGUACAGCAAAACUAUUUGGAAGGACAACCUCAACAGGCUGAGUACCUACAGGUGCAGGCUCAGCAACAACAACAGGAUACUCAUAAAAUAUCUAGUGUAUCCCAACCGGAGUUGCUUCACCCGGCUCCGCAACAUCAUGAACACAGACUUAGCGUUGAUAGUCAAAUGGAUAAAAUUCCACCAGGAAUUAUGCAAGAUCAGCAACAGUCUCUUGCGAAUUUCCAACAGACUUACCAACAACAACAGCACCAACAACAACAACAACAACAGCAGCAGCAGCCGACAUAUGCGCAAGUAGUGCAACACCAGCCCCCAAACUAUCAACAGCAACAGAGCUACCAACAAUCACCGGCGAGUUAUCCACCUCAGCAAACUUAUCAAACUCAAGACAGUCAAAAUUACCAACAGCAGAACUACCAGCAGCAACAAAGCUAUCAGCAAGGUCAACAGGAGCCCAUGAUGCAUAUUAUUCCUGGUACUAUGACUCAAAUUCCUCAGGAAAUGGGGCAGCAGUAUGUACAGCAACAACAGAGCUUUCCUCAACAACAGGCUCAACCACAAGCUACUUAUCAACAACAUGUACCACAACAGACUCAACAACCAACUUUCCAAACUCAACAGUCUUAUCAACAGAAUUAUCCUCAACAAACAACCGCUCAUCAACAGAGCAGUUAUCCGACACAACAGCAGCAGCAACCCCCUCAACAACCCACUUAUACUCAACAGCCGCAAGUUAAUUAUACACAGCAACCCCAACAGUCCUAUCAAGGACAACCGUAUCAACAACCAGAACAGCAACAAGUAUAUCAGCAACAGUAUGUCCAACCUCAAAAUAUCGAUCAUUCCCAACAGUAUAUUCAGCAACCAAUAGAACCUACUCAACAGUAUAUGCAACAGCAAAGUAUUGACCCUAAUCAACAGUAUAUGCAACAAAAGAUAGAGCCUACCCAGCAGUAUAUUCCCCAAAGUAUUGAUCCUUCACAACAAGUUCAAUCCAUGGAACAGACACAGCAACAGCCACCUCAGUAUAUUCCUCAGCAAGCGAGCCAGCAGCAGCCAAUACCACAGCAGGUAGUACAGAGCGAACCUACCAUGAGUGUCGGUACGCCUCCCAUGAACCUUGUAGAACUUCAGCAGAAAUUAGCACAACAGCACAUGCAGGCAACUAAACAACCAGAACAGCAUCGAAGUUCGACCGUUUCUUUACCUCCGAUGGCUACUUUCGAGACAUCAACAGACCAUAGGAGACUAUCGACUAUUUCUCAACCCGCUUCAGUACAGGAUUACAUACAGAGUUCGAUCCAACAGCAACAUAUUACUGAAGUACCUAGUCAAGAAUAUGUUCCUCCAGUCCAGGCAGCUCCAGUUCCGGUCUCACAGUACCAGGAAUCUCAACCACUAACCGUAGAAAACGUGAACGCCCUUCCAUCAUACCCGACCCCGUUGGAGACGAUCCUGUCAGUCGAAUCUCUCAGUCACAAACCAUCGCAGGAAGUCAUCAACGCCGUCCAAGACCUCGAUCUAAACGAGCAACAAGUAAGUCAAACUCGAGACAUCUCCUCGACUUCUUCAGACGAGAAGCCUAGGAGAAAACGAAGCUCUCUAAAGUACCAACUGAUCGUUGACAACGUUCAGCCCGACGGCAUCGUCGAAUGCCAGCUACUUUGCAAACAGAAAUCGGUUAGUUUUAAGUUUAACAGAUUCGAAACCAGGCCCUCGGACAUCAUCGAGAAGAUGAUCAAGCAGGAGGUGUUGGACGAGCCGCACAAAGAGCUGAAGGACCACUUGCAGGACGUUAUCGAUAAGCUUAAUGCGCAUCCGGAUAAAAUGUCUGAAGCUGGUAAAGUUAAACAGUGGACGUACGUGCAGAAGGUUAGGCAUGCCUCACUCACAAGGCACUCCCACAAAAAAACACAUCGAAGGCACAGAUCGAGGGACGACUCCAGCGGACAAACCUUUGUCAAAUCUAUGUACGUCGAUCCUUCACCUACCCACGAUGAGUUCCAUGGAAUGAAAACCAGUUUGUCGGAAAAUAUCUAUCAGAAUCUGAGAUGUCGUGAGAGCUUGAACUCCAGUGGAACAGUAUCUCGGAAGACGAGUACAGCUUCUGAGUACACACCAGAACAUACUUAUAUAGUUAAUAGAUCACCUGGUCAUGUUGAUCAAAAUACCGUCAACUAUCUUGCAGAGACAGCUAUUUCCCCUCCUAUAGACUUGCCGAUACAGCGUCCAAUCAUACCUACAGAUUUAGGAAACCAUAUGCUAAUCGGUAGUCCUCCUAGAGUGUUAGAUUCGGAUGGUAGUGAUCAUACUGACGCUUUCAAGGCUGAAUUAAAUGAUAGUUUGCUUCAGAAAGACACUAGUAAAUUUACUCCGAUUCCUGGACAAAAAGUCAACUUAAAGGUAUUCGUCAUGUCAGUAGAUCAAAAUUCAGAUGGUACAAAAGAUGAUUACGUAGAAUCUCCUAAAGAAAGAAUCAUAGAAGUGAAACUUGAAGACAAUAAAAAUGAAAAGUGUUUGACUCCUGACGUUGAUACAAAGAGUGAGAAGCUUAUGGAUCAAAGCCUAAAGCUUCCACCACAGAGAAAAAUUUCUAGAUUUUUGGUGAGUCCUGUAUUGUCUGGACAAUUGAAUCUUCCAAAAGAUAAAGAUUUUGGUACCGAGGUAGCGCCCAAACCCCAGAAUGUUCCUGAUGUUGUGCCACUAGUAGAAAAGCCAGUAGAGAUAAUUCAUCAAGCAACUGAAGUAAAAUCUGUUAUUCCCAGUAAUGUAAUCGCUUCCACAGAACCGUUAAGAAAGAACUCGGCUCCUCUAGAAACUACUAGAAAUAUGCUUGAGUUAGAGAAACCUGCAGAGCCAAAGAUAAGCGUAUGUUCCUUAAAAGAAGAAAGUAGUGCAGUAAAAGACGAUUCCGCUCAAAUGUGCGGUCCUGAACACAUAAAUACAUUAGAGCAGUUGAAAAUUAGUCUCGAUAAUCUAAAGCACAGCAGCCAUCCUAAGAAGGAUUCUGUAGAAUCUGAAACUAAAAAGGAAACUAAAAAGAUAUCUUCAAACAUCGAUGUUAGUGCAAAGGGAUCGACUGUAACAGCGCAAUCAUCUCCGUCUCAGUUUAUACCACAGACUGCUCAGAGCCAACCAUCGCAACAGCCGCUACAAACCCAACAGCAGCCAAUACAAUCAGCGCAACAGCCGCUACAACCUCCUCAGCAGCCACUACAACCUCCUCAGCAGCCGCUACAACCUCCGCAACAACCUUUACAACCUCCACAGCAGCAAUUACAGCCUCCACAGCAACCAUUACAACCUCCACAACAAUCGUUACAACCUUCACAACAAUCUCUUCAAACUCCCCAACAAAACUUUACUAUUUCAUCGCCACAGUCUCAGCAGACGUUACCUCCACCUCAACAAAUGUCAGCUUCUCAGAAUUUAUCCCAGCAGACGCCAACCCAGCAAACUUUAAUGCAACCUCAACAGUCGGUACCACAGCACCAACCAAGUUUAACUCCUAUGCAACAAUCUCAACAAUUACCAACGAGUCAACCGCCUCAACAGCAGCAGUCGUUACCGCAGUUGCCCCAACAGCAGCAGUCCUUACCGCAGUUGCCUCAACAGCAGCAAUCUUUACCGCAAUUAAAACAGCAGCAAUCCUUACAACAAUUGCCACCACAACAGCAACAAGCGACUUUACCUCCACAGCAACAACCGUUGCAACAGCAACCUCAAUUACAACAGAUAUCUCAACAACAGCAGUAUUCCCAGCACCAACUACCGCAGCAACAGCUACCUCAACAGCAGUUAUCGCAGCAACAGCUAUCGCAGCAACAGCUACCGCAGCAACAGCUACCGCAACAACAGAUGCCGCAGCAACAGCUGCCGCAGCAACAGCUGCCGCAGCAACAGAUACCGCAGCAACAGCUAUCGCAGCAAAAGCUGCCACAGCAACAGAUACCGCAGCAACAGUUGCCACAACAACAGAUACCGCAGCAACAGCUGCCACAGCAACAGCUGCCACAGCAACAGCCGCCACAGCAACAGCUACCGCAGCAACAGCUACCGCCGCAACAGCUAACGCAGCAACAGCUAGCGCAGCAACAGCUGCCGCAAAAACAGCUAUCGCAGCAGCAAAUGCUGCCUCCACAACAACAGCAACCUGUCCCGCAACCACAUUUAACUCAACAACUGUCUCAACAGCAGAUAAAUGUUCCACAACAGCAACUAUCUGCGCAGUCACAGAUACAACAGCCUCAGAUAUCUCAGCAACAACUACCGCCUCAGCAUCACCAACAGUUUUCUCAACAUUUGCCACAAACGCAGCAACAAAUUCCUCAUCCGGCAAGUCAGCCUCAGUCUGUUCUAGCUCAACAGGUUCCUUCUAUAUCGCAGCAACAAAACUAUGUACCUUCGUCGGUACCGCAACAGUACGUGCCUACUGCUACACACCCCAUGAAUAUUUCCCACAUUAGUUCUUCCAUGUCUCAACAAACGUCAUCUGUCAUGAGUGGUUCGGUACCAAGUCAGCCUGUAUCGAUGUCGAUGCCUCAACCAAUGUCAAGUAGUGUGCCACAUCAACACGAUAUUCCAAUAUCUAUACCACAGCCUCAUGUACUACCCACUAGCGCAACUACUACCAUAUCCCACGCCAUCAGCCAGUCAACCAUUCACCAGCAACAACCACCCCCUCAAAGUUACACUCAUCAACCAUCAUCAAUCCCUCCUCCCAUAUCUAAGCAUCUCGCCACGUCUCAGCCGAUGGUGAUAAACAUGAAUCAACCACCCAUCGACAUGCAGACGGUGUAUCAGCAACCGGUGUAUGCCGGCCAUGGCGGACACACAAUUUCUAGUUCUGUAUCUGUGCAGAAUUUCUCGUCGGCGGCGGGAGGACCACCUGUCGGCGGUUUCCAGCAUUCCAUGUCCAUCGACGACACUCUGCAAAACUAUGCUGCUGCUGUCAAGAAAGUGCCAGAGAAUCUCAACCAAAUAUUGGAAAGCUCCAGUAAAGUUAGUCAAACUCCAGCUUCGCAAGGUGAUGCCAAAUACGACGCGCAUCUGCAAAAUUUGCAACAAAAGUUGUGUGCUAUUCCUUCGUCUAGAACUUCACAAAAUAAUACUGCGCCAUCUAGCCCCCAACUGAUACUCGCUUCGCCAGAGUUCCCGCAAGAAAAUGUGCCUACUAAUGCAAACGUUAAUAUAAGCAAACUACAAAUAGAAUCAACCAGCAUCCCUAGUAGUGGAACGACCACAUCGGACGUACUGUCUCCAGUUGUAGAGCCAGAAAACACGCCAGUACUAAAUGCCGUCGUCGAAGACCCGCUUGUAGAACUCAAUAAUAAACUAAAACAGAUUAACGCUAGAUCUGAGCCAGUAGUAGAGAAAAAGGACUAUCCGCCUAACGUUCCUGACCUGGCUGCGAAUGAGAACCCACCCGUUGAACAGAUACCGCCUCAGAAAGAACGACGGAUUUCGAGGUUCCAAGUGAGCGUCGUUACCGAACCGGAGAAAAGUCAAAAGGCAGAAGAUGCCCAGCAGCACGAUAGGAAAGAUAGCACCGUUUCUAUAGACUCAGCUGAAGCUAAAAAAGAAGCUGAUUUCGCUACUGUUAUUAAUACCACUUUCGAUUCUUUGAAAACUACUUUAGUUAGAUCGUUGCCUACAGGAGGAACUGAAGAAGUAAAUUCUGAGGAAGAAGAACAAGUUUCCAAUAUCAAAGAGGAAACAUUCGAAGAAAUGCUGAAUCGCCAGAAGGCUGAACUAAAUGCUUUAAUGGAAGCUCACAGAAAGCAACAGUUAGAAUACAUGGGUAAAUAUAAAAGGCAGAAAGACGGAGAAAAUAGAUGAGUUUUAUUUUCUUUUUGUUUUUGUUACAGAGUUUCAUCGAAAAUUAACCGAAGAGAGUAAAAAACAUUGAAGAGGAUCAACAGAUUAAAGUGAGAAUGUAAGGCUGUAUAAUAAAUAAUUAUUAUUGUUUAUAUUGUAUUAUAUUUUAAAGAAGUCCUAGAUAUUAAUUACAAUGAUUGCUGAUAAUUUAUUUUUAAUAUCUCCUGUUAUUCCUAGUUUUGUUUUAUUUAUUUUAGAAAGUGACAGCAGUAAUAAAGUCUUGUACGGAAGAUAAGGAUAGAAAAUGUUUUCCUUAUCCUCCACAGAUUAUUCCUAUAUUAUAUUCAUGUAUAAUUUUUCUUUGGAAUCAAUAUAAAAUUGUUAUUAUUUUUA
This 9914-nucleotide unclassified non-coding RNA is filed under the name Diabrotica virgifera virgifera (western corn rootworm). RNAcentral describes it as "titin". Lineage: Eukaryota; Metazoa; Arthropoda; Insecta; Coleoptera; Chrysomelidae. The record is from RNAcentral.